Long non-coding RNA from Venturia canescens, 544 nucleotides. RefSeq lists it as uncharacterized. The record is from RefSeq and is a predicted model, not a curated record. NCBI's taxonomy places the organism in Eukaryota, Metazoa, Arthropoda, Insecta, Hymenoptera, Ichneumonidae. The transcript is spliced from 2 exons.
UAUAAUUUCUAUAGAGUAAUUAUAUAUAUAUAUAUAUAUAUAUAUAAUACGGGAAAUUCUGGAAACGAAAUGUCUGGCAUUUUUUAUUAUGUCAGUAUAAGAAAAGUUUAAUUUUUGCUUUUCAUUGGACAGGUAAGAAGAGGCAAAACACUGUGAGGAAUUGGAUGAGCCAGAGGUCCAUGAGCGAACUUUCUCAACGGUGGCCGAUGGAAAUUUCUUAGUCUCAUUGGUCCCAUGUGAGUUUGAACAAAUGGAGCGCGCAAUUCAACGACCGGUGUACUGUGCUGUAUGAGAUUUCCUCCACCGACUUUCAGACGUAGUGUCGUUUCUGAAGAACGCGGCAUGUAAUAUCUGCGAUAAUUGGAAUUCAUUAGAAUAAAUAGAAAAGCUAGGCUAAUUUUGUAAAGAAUUUUGAGUUUCAUAGAAAUCUUUAUUUUUCUUUAAGAAAAUAUUAUUGUUCGAAAUGAAUUUAUUUUUAUACGUAAAUAUUAUGAUAGUAAACUUACGUGUCGUUAGAAAUAUUAAAAGGAUCUCUGUCGGGUGA